CAAGGAAUAGUUUAGUCAGAAUUUCAGCUUUGGGAGUUGACGGC
Molecule: transfer RNA, 44 nt
Filed under: Heterocephalus glaber (naked mole-rat)
Lineage: Eukaryota; Metazoa; Chordata; Mammalia; Rodentia; Bathyergidae
Description: partial tRNA-Pro
Source: RNAcentral